This 29-nucleotide non-coding RNA is filed under the name Mus musculus (house mouse). The record is from RNAcentral. Lineage: Eukaryota; Metazoa; Chordata; Mammalia; Rodentia; Muridae.
UUGCCUCCUGGAGCCUCCAUGCCUCUUUU